AUUUAAAUAGCUUAAGAAGAGCAUGAUAUUGAAGUUAUCAGGGUAAUAUGUAUUAUUUUUAAAUA
Molecule: transfer RNA, 65 nt
Filed under: Bisnius sordidus
Lineage: Eukaryota; Metazoa; Arthropoda; Insecta; Coleoptera; Staphylinidae
Description: tRNA-Phe
Source: RNAcentral